Molecule: long non-coding RNA, 1194 nt
Filed under: Eutrema salsugineum
Lineage: Eukaryota; Viridiplantae; Streptophyta; Magnoliopsida; Brassicales; Brassicaceae
Description: long non-coding RNA (ESAL_LNC001976)
Source: RNAcentral
GAGAACCCUCUUCUUUGGAUGCUGAAGGCAUUUCGGAAUCUUCAACAACAUUAACAGGAAAAAUUGGAACAGUUUUCAAAGAAUCCUUUGAUCUCAGUCCAACAAUAUUUUCAGUCAUCGUCAUGGCUCCAGGAGAAACCGAAGGUGAUAUCGAUGCCCCUUCCUGUUUGUUAGAAGCCUCAGCGAAAUCAGCGGUAGGAGCUGGUAACAUUUGCCCAGAACCAUCAUCCUGAGACUUUAGUGGUCGACUUUCUUUGUUUAUCUCAAGCAAAUCCUUCUCCACAAGGGUUUCCGAAUCAAUGGCGACAGUGCCUUGAGCUGAAGUAUCAUCAGACUGAUCAACAGGAGUAAUGCGACAAUCCAAAUCAACACCGCUAGAUCUAUGGAUUUCAGGUGACUCAGUUUUCUUUGGAGAACCUUGUUCAUUGGAUACUGAAUGCAUUUUGGAAUCUUCAACAACAUUAGCAGGAAAAACUGGAACAGAUUCCAAGGAAUCGUUUGAUCUCAGUCCAACCAUAUUUUCAAUCAUCGUCCUUGCUCCAGGAGAAACCGAAGGUGAUAUCGAUGCCCCUGCCUGUUUGUUAGAAGCCUCAGCGAUAUCAGCGUUAGGACCAGCAUCCUCAGACUCUAGUGGUCGACUUUCUUUAUUUAUCUCAAGUAAAUCCUUCUCCACAAGGUUUUCCGAAUCAAUGGGGAUAGUGCCUUGACCUGAAGUAUCAUCAGGCUGAUCAACAGGAGUAAGGCGACAAUCCAAAUCAACACCGCUAGAUCUAUGGAUUUCAGGUGACUCAGUUUUCUUUGGAGAACUCUGUUCAUUGGAUGCUGAAGGCAUUUCGGAAUCUUCAACAACAUUAACAGGAAAAAUUGGAACAGUUUCCAAAGAAUCCUUUGAUCUCAGUCCAACAAUAUUUUCAGUCAUCGUCAUGGCUCCAGGAGAAACCGAAGGUGAUAUCGAUGCCCCUUCCUGUUUGUUAGAAGCCUCAGCGAAAUCAGCGGUAGGAGCUGGUAACAUUUGCCCAGAACCAUCAUCCUGAGACUUUAGUGGUCGACUUUCUUUGUUUAUCUCAAGCAAAUCCUUCUCCACAAGGGUUUCCGAAUCAAUGGCGACAGUGCCUUGAGCUGAAGUAUCAUCAAUCUGAUCAACAGGAGUAAUGCGAGAAUCCAAAUCAACACCGCUAGAUCUACGGAUUUCAG